This is a long non-coding RNA of Poecilia latipinna (sailfin molly), 188 nucleotides long. RefSeq lists it as uncharacterized. NCBI's taxonomy places the organism in Eukaryota, Metazoa, Chordata, Actinopteri, Cyprinodontiformes, Poeciliidae. The record is from RefSeq and is a predicted model, not a curated record. The transcript is spliced from 2 exons.
GCGUCCUCCAGAGCUUUGUAGUAGUCCUGAAACAGAAGAACAGCAGACGUUCACCAGAACAGAACAUCUGGAAGGUUCUGGGUCCAGCCGCUCCCACCUUCUUGAUGAUCUCCAUCUGCUCCUCUCUCCACUCCGGCUUGUUCUUCUUGGCGUUGACGAAGAACUCUGUGACCUUCUGCUCCAGCUGG